UUUGAUGAUUAUAGAUCAUUAACAACAAAAGAUAUGGGUUAAUCAUGCAUCAAAUUCAUAGAAAAUCAAAGAAUUAAGCAAUGCAUGCUCUACCUUUGAUAAAAUGUCUCUAAGGUGCUAAAUUAAUCAAAAAGGUGGAAGUUUGUUGAAGUUUGAUGUUGUGAAAUGUGAAAACAUGUGAGAGUAGAUGAUCUGGACAUUAGGAAUAAUUUAAUUGCAUGCUAGAAGCAAAAUCCCGAAUUUUUGUCAAAUUGGGUUUAACUAGUAAUCUGUGAUUUUUGGGGUUUUUCGGAGCCUCGAGAUCAUGGUGUAUAUGACUUGAUUAACAUAUGUAAU
RNAcentral lists this long non-coding RNA (336 nucleotides) under Panax ginseng (ginseng). RNAcentral's name for it is "long non-coding RNA (PGIN_LNC002880)". The record is from RNAcentral. Lineage: Eukaryota; Viridiplantae; Streptophyta; Magnoliopsida; Apiales; Araliaceae.